This 298-nucleotide unclassified non-coding RNA is filed under the name fungal sp. Its description in RNAcentral is "partial internal transcribed spacer region". The stretch from base 1 to 46 matches the Rfam family "Eukaryotic small subunit ribosomal RNA", at positions 1786 to 1831 of the family's 1831-position model. Lineage: Eukaryota; Fungi. The record is from RNAcentral.
AAGUCGUAACAAGGUUUCCGUAGGUGAACCUGCGGAAGGAUCAUUAAUGAAUUAAAUGUGGGAGUUGGUUGUAGCUGGCACUCUAAUUAAUUUUGGGGAGCAUGUACACGCCUUCUCCUUUCAUCCACACACACCUGUGCACUUGUGAGGCAGCUUGGGGAAAUAGGACUCUAAUUAAUUUUAUUGGACUUGCUCUCCUCUGUCUACUUAAACCACAUAAACUCUAAUUAAUUUAAAACGAAUGUAAUUGAUGUAACGCAUCUAAUACUAAGUUUCAACAACGGAUCUCUUGGCUCUC